Molecule: non-coding RNA, 45 nt
Filed under: Echinostoma caproni
Lineage: Eukaryota; Metazoa; Platyhelminthes; Trematoda; Plagiorchiida; Echinostomatidae
Source: RNAcentral
GGAUUGCUGAUGAGUCCCAAACAGGACGAAACAGCUGUACGGUGC